AGCUCCAAAAGCGUAUAUUAAAGUUGUUGCAGUUAAAAAGCUCGUAGUUGGAUUUCUGGUAGGAGCGACCAUACCGGGCUUGAUUGUCCGUGUUUUGCGUUGUCUCCAGCCAUCCUCGUGGAGAGCGUUUCUGGCAUUAGUUUGUUGGAGGCGGGACCCGCGUCUUUCACUGUGAAAAAAUUAGAGUGUUUAAAGCAGGCAAUUGGCUUGAAUACAUUAGCAUGGAAUGAUAAGAUAGGACUUUGGUGCUAUUUUGUUGGUUUGCACAUCAAGGUAAUGAUUAACAGAAUCAGUCGGGGAUAUUCGUAUGCAAAUGUCAGAGGUGAAAUUCUUGGAUUUUUUACAGACGAACUACUGCGAAAGCAUUUAUCAAGGAUGUUUUCAUUAAUCAAGAACGAAA
Molecule: ribosomal RNA, 400 nt
Filed under: phytoplankton environmental sample
Lineage: Eukaryota
Description: partial small subunit ribosomal RNA
Rfam family: Eukaryotic small subunit ribosomal RNA
Source: RNAcentral